RNAcentral lists this long non-coding RNA (423 nucleotides) under Manacus vitellinus (golden-collared manakin). RNAcentral describes it as "lncRNA (ENSMVIG00005005606.1)". The record is from RNAcentral. Lineage: Eukaryota; Metazoa; Chordata; Aves; Passeriformes; Pipridae.
GUUGUUCACAAUGGCAGAACCCAAAGUCAAGCACAUGGAAUUAUGUAGAGAACUGAGAAGCCUCUCUAUGCUGCUGCUGUUAUGGGGUAAUUUUUAGUCACUUACUUGGAAGAAGGGCUGGUUUUGACUCUUCCCUUUCCUGUCCUCUCCUGUGUUCUCUCUCCUUCGUCCAUUAGCAGAGGGACCUUCCUGGUUCUGCCAUUUCUUAAAAACCCAGUUCACUGAUGAGAAGUUUCAAGUACAGCUUGGCAAAUCCAGAGGAUGCCGGGGGAAGCAGCUGAUACAAUUCACAUGUUCACUCAUCUACUGCAUAUGGAAUAUAAGGAAGAGGAGUCCCACAAAAGUCCUGAUGAUACUUUGGUCCAGUUUCACCUGAAAUCAAAAAGAUUGUAUUGCUUCAGUCUGUCCCUGGGAAACCACUAA